This 301-nucleotide ribosomal RNA is filed under the name uncultured Klebsiella sp. RNAcentral describes it as "bacterial SSU rRNA". It matches the Rfam family "Bacterial small subunit ribosomal RNA", at positions 498 to 797 of the family's 1533-position model. Lineage: Bacteria; Pseudomonadati; Pseudomonadota; Gammaproteobacteria; Enterobacterales; Enterobacteriaceae. The record is from RNAcentral.
UAACUCCGUGCCAGCAGCCGCGGUAAUACGGAGGGUGCAAGCGUUAUCCGGAAUCACUGGGUUUAAAGGGUGCGUAGGCGGUCUGAUAAGUCAGUCGUGAAAUCGCUGGGCUUAACCUUUGCAACUGCGAUUGAUACUGUUAGACUUGAAUAAGAUUGAGGCAGGCGGAAUGUGGCAUGUAGCGGUGAAAUGCUUAGAUAUGCCAUAGAACACCAAUUGCGAAGGCAGCCUGCUGGGCCUUUAUUGACGCUGAGGCACGAAAGCGUGGGGAGCAAACAGGAUUAGAAACCCCGGUAGUCCG